GACGAACGCUGGCGGCGUGCCUAAUACAUGCAAGUUGAGCGCUGAAGGUUGGUACUUGUACCAACUGGAUGAGCAGCGAACGGGUGAGUAACGCGUGGGGAAUCUGUCUUUGAGCGGGGGACAACAUUUGGAAACGAAUGCUAAUACCGCAUAAAAACUUUAAACACAAGUUUUAAGUUUGAAAGAUGCAAUUGCAUCACUCAAAGAUGAUCCCGCGUUGUAUUAGCUAGUUGGUGAGGUAAAGGCUCACCAAGGCGAUGAUACAUAGCCGACCUGAGAGGGUGAUCGGCCACAUUGGGACUGAGACACGGCCCAAACUCCUACGGGAGGCAGCAGUAGGGAAUCUUCGGCAAUGGACGAAAGUCUGACCGAGCAACGCCGCGUGAGUGAAGAAGGUUGUCGGAUCGUAAAACUCUGUUGGUAGAGAAGAACGUUGGUGAGAGUGGAAAGCUCAUCAAGUGACGGUAACUACCCAGAAAGGGACGGCUAACUACGUG
This 497-nucleotide ribosomal RNA is filed under the name uncultured bacterium. RNAcentral describes it as "partial 16S ribosomal RNA". It matches the Rfam family "Bacterial small subunit ribosomal RNA", at positions 28 to 507 of the family's 1533-position model. The record is from RNAcentral.